UGGGGAAUUUUGGACAAUGGGGGCAACCCUGAUCCAGCAAUGCCGCGUGUGUGAAGAAGGCCUUCGGGUUGUAAAGCACUUUUGUCCGGAAAGAAAUCCGCCGAGUUAAUACCUUGGCGGGAUGACGGUACCGGAAGAAUAAGCACCGGCUAACUACGUGCCAGCAGCCGCGGUAAUACGUAGGGUGCAAGCGUUAAUCGGAAUUACUGGGCGUUAAGCGUGCGCAGGCGGUUGUGCAAGACAGAUGUGAAAUCCCCGGGCUUAACCUGGGAACUGCAUUUGUGACUGCACGGCUAGAGUGUGUCAGAGGGGGGUAGAAUUCCACGUGUAGCAGUGAAAUGCGUAGAUAUGUGGAGGAAUACCGAUGGCGAAGGCAGCCCCCUGGGAUAACACUGACGCUCAUGCACGAAAGCGUGGGGAGCAAACAG
Molecule: ribosomal RNA, 428 nt
Filed under: uncultured bacterium
Lineage: Bacteria
Description: bacterial SSU rRNA
Rfam family: Bacterial small subunit ribosomal RNA
Source: RNAcentral